This 487-nucleotide ribosomal RNA is filed under the name uncultured bacterium. RNAcentral's name for it is "bacterial SSU rRNA". It matches the Rfam family "Bacterial small subunit ribosomal RNA", at positions 28 to 510 of the family's 1533-position model. The record is from RNAcentral.
GACGAACGCUGGCGGCGUGCUUAACACAUGCAAGUCGAGCGGUAAGGCCCUUUCGGGGGUACACGAGCGGCGAACGGGUGAGUAACACGUGGGUGACCUGCCCUCAGCUCUGGGAUAAGCCCGGGAAACUGGGUCUAAUACUGGAUAUGACUCCACGGUGCAUGCCGUGGGGUGGAAAGCCUUGUGCGGCUGAGGAUGGGCCCGCGGCCUAUCAGCUUGUUGGUGGGGUGAUGGCCUACCAAGGCGACGACGGGUAGCCGGCCUGAGAGGGCGACCGGCCACACUGGGACUGAGACACGGCCCAGACUCCUACGGGAGGCAGCAGUGGGGAAUAUUGGACAAUGGGCGAAAGCCUGAUCCAGCGACGCCGCGUGGGUGAAGAAGGCCUGCGGGUUGUAAAGCCCUUUCAGUGGGGAAGAAAAGCCUCGAGCUAACACCUCGGGUCUUGACGUAACCAUAAGAAGAAGCACCGGCUAACUCUGUGCCA